UGUGUACAAGUGGAGGCAUGGUGUACAGAUAGACAGGGUGUACAGGUGGAGACAGGUUGGCGGAGUGAGGCUUUGACAGUUUGUCUAUUGGGAGUGGACAGCAGGCUCGUGCAUGUAUGUGCACUUCCAUGACCACCGAGAUGGACGAUUGUGUUUUAUAAAUGAGGCCCCUGUUGUGUGGCACAGUGCUAACAUCAGUGCUAACAUAAACGCCAACGUAUAUUUGAACACAAGUGCAUUAACAUGAUACCAGCAAAUCAGGUGGUCUUCAGAAAGCAUCACUGCAUGUCAAACCCCAAAAGCCACUUGGAGAGCAUCACUCAAACUGAUGGCCAAGUUGAGUGCCAUUUUCUUUUCAGUAUUUACGUACGGUUUAAAAACAAACAAA
This is a long non-coding RNA of Thalassophryne amazonica, 388 nucleotides long. RefSeq lists it as uncharacterized. The record is from RefSeq and is a predicted model, not a curated record. The transcript is spliced from 3 exons. Lineage: Eukaryota; Metazoa; Chordata; Actinopteri; Batrachoidiformes; Batrachoididae.